GCCUAAUUACCCGUCUUAUAACAUUGGAAAAAUACAGAGAAGAUUAGCGUGGCCCCUGCGCAAGGAUGACACGUACAAAUUGAGAAAUGGUUCUAUUAUGG
Molecule: small nuclear RNA, 101 nt
Filed under: Volvox carteri f. nagariensis
Lineage: Eukaryota; Viridiplantae; Chlorophyta; Chlorophyceae; Chlamydomonadales; Volvocaceae
Source: RNAcentral